This 393-nucleotide ribosomal RNA is filed under the name uncultured bacterium. RNAcentral's name for it is "partial 16S ribosomal RNA". It matches the Rfam family "Bacterial small subunit ribosomal RNA", at positions 523 to 918 of the family's 1533-position model. The record is from RNAcentral.
AUACGGAGGACGCGAGCGUUAUCCGGAUUCAUUGGGUUUAAAGGGUGCGCAGGCGGCCGUGCAAGUCAGCGGUGAAAGCCCGGGGCUCAACCCCGGAAGUGCCGUUGAUACUGCAUGGCUGGAAUGCGGUCGAGGCGGGCGGAACGUGGCGGGUAGCGGUGAAAUGCGUAGUUAUGCCACCGAACGCCGAUAGCGGAGGCGGCUCGCCGGGCCUGCAUUGACGCACGGGCACGAAAGCGGGGGGAUCGAACAGGAUUAGAUACCCUGGUAGUCCACGCCGUAAACGAUGGGCGCUCGUCGUCGGCGACAGACAGUCGGCGGCCAAGCGAAAGCGAUAAGCGCCCCACCUGGGGAGUACGGUCGCAAGGCUGAAACUCAAAUGAAUUGGCGGGG